AUUUUGGGUGUCUGAUUUUCGUUUACGAUUUGGGUGUUGAUUUUGGGUGUCUGAUUUUGGAAGGUCGUUGUUGUCGCCGUUCGGGUUCAGGCGGCGGCUCCUUCGCUGCCGACGUUAGCUGUCUAGUCGGGGGAGAGAUUCGGAGGAAGAGAGAGUCGGGUCGACGGAGGCCGCGAUUUGGGGAUCUAGGGUUCUGGCGAGGUGGCGGCUGCGGUCGCCGGGGGACAGAGGGGGUGAGUUCUGGCGAGAGACGGAGGUGGCCGGAGAGGCGGUAGUCGGAAGUC
RNAcentral lists this long non-coding RNA (284 nucleotides) under Salvia miltiorrhiza (redroot sage). Its description in RNAcentral is "long non-coding RNA (SMIL_LNC010088)". The record is from RNAcentral. Lineage: Eukaryota; Viridiplantae; Streptophyta; Magnoliopsida; Lamiales; Lamiaceae.